CCCGCAAGCCCGGGCUUGACUCUGCGAGCACCGCUCCCGCCCGGUCAGGGGCAGGUCCCGCGCCCGCCGCCUGCGGGACCCGAACCGGCGUCUUGAGAAGCCCGGCCCUCCUCCCUCCUCUCUCGCCCCGCGCCCGCCGCGAGCGAUGCCCCGAGACCCAGCCCACGCCUAGAGCGGGCAGCGGCCUGGCGGUGGGGUCGAAAGCUACGGCACAGAGCCGUGCCUGAGUCGGAAAGAAGCCUCGGCGGAAGCGGAAGCGGAAGCGGAGAUGGCCGCAGCGGAGCGGGCAGGGGCCGUGUGUGACCCUGGCCGGGUCAUUUCCGUCGGGCCGGGCAGGGUCCGUGGGGGCUCGGGCGGGGUUGGUGGGGACCAGGGCGCAAGCCAAGAAGGGCGGCGCGGCCGGGGGCGGGGACUGGGACGGGGCCAGCGCUCCGAGGAAGACGCGGGGAGCCUGGGGCAUGGGGCCAGGCUCGGGGCGCCGGGAGGUGACCUUCCCUCGCUGGCCCUGCACGAAGCACGACCUUCCUCGGGUUCAGCUCGCUCCCCUUGCAGCCCCUGGCAAGGAGGACCCUGAGCAUCUGUGUAGCCUGGAUGACCUUGCCCCGGAGGAGCCGAGGUGGGCACGCUAGGAGAGGCCCCCAGGGAUGACAUGGCGACCCGAAUGGCAGAAUCAUGUGGUCUCUCAUACCGCGGAACAGUAGGUCACGAUGAAAAGGAACCAUGCGGAUUCAAAGGACUGAUUGUCAGCUUAGGCAGAGCCCAGAAACACACGUGAAAAUUUACUGGAAAAACAGAGAGGGAGCCUGGGACUGGGGAUGGGGGACAAAGGGGACUUUAACUUAAUUGGCAUUGUUUUGUUUCUAGUCUAUGGAAGAGGCAGAGGUGGGAACACGAGUGCCUAUUAGGAUACUGUAUACUUUUUUGGUAAAUCUUUUAUUUUCUUUAAAUUAAAUAAAGGGGGGAAUUAGGUCCCCCUGUUCUUGUUUGGCCUGUGGCCACAGCAUCUGUUCCAGGAGAGAGGUGAGUCUGCAUGGGUGGGGGAAGAGAAGCCCUUAUCUCAGGGCAGGGCUCAUGCUCGCUGGGGACAGCCACCCUGCCACCACCACUGCCAAAUUAAGCCUUAUUUGUGUGCAGAUUUUUUUUUCUGGAGACAGAGUCUUGCUCUGCCCAGGCUGGAGUGCAAUGGCACGAUCUCGGCUCACUCCAACCUCCACCUCCCGGAUCCAAGCAAUUCUCCUGCCUCAGCCUCCCAAGUAGCUGGGAUUACAGGCACCUGCCACCACUCCCGGCUAAUUUUUUGUAUUUUUAGUAGAGAUAGGGUUUCAUCAUGUUGACCAGGCUGAUCUCAAACUCCUUACCUCAGGUGAUCCACCCGCCUCAGCCAGCACUUUGGGAGGCCGAAGCAGGCGGAUCUCUGGACUCAACUAAUGAUGCUGGAAAAACCGCAUAUCCACAUGCAAAAGAAUGAAGUUGGACCCUAACCUAGCACCAUAUACAAAAAUUACCUCAAAAUGGAUUCAGGACAUAAACAUAAGACCUGUAACUAUAAAAAUCCUGAAAGAAAACAGGGGGAAAGGUCUACAACAUUAGAUGUGGCAAUGAUUUUUUUAGAUAUGACCCCAAAAGCAAGAAUAGACAAAUAGGACCAAGUCAGACUUUAUAAAAACUGCACAGCAAAGGAAACAACAGAAUGAAAGGCAAUCUGUGGAAUGGGAGAAAAUAUUGCAAAUCAGAUAUCUAAUAAGGAAUUGCUAUCCAAAAUAAAAUUUAGACUCCUACCACUCGACAACAACAAACAACUCACUUAAAAAUGGGCAAAAGGCUGGGUAUGGUUGCUCAUGCCUGUAAUCCCAGGCUUCCCUUGGGAGGCCAAGGUGGGAGGAUCACUUGAGGCCAAUAGUUAGAAACUAGUCUGGGCGAUAUUGUGAGACCUCAUCUCUACAAAAAGUAAACUAAAACAAGGCAGGCAUGAUAGCACCUAUAGUCCUAGUUACUUGGUAGGCUGAGGCAGGAGGAUCACUUGAGCUCAGGAGUUCAAGGUUGCAGUGAGCUAUGAUUGUGCUACUGUACCCUAGCCUGGACAACACAGCACAAGAAAAAAUAAAGUGGACCUUUUCAUCAGUUAUAACAAGUGCACAACUCUUGUUCAGGGGAAGCUGUGCAGUUGGGAGGGCAGAGAGUAUGUGGGAGCUCUCUGUACUUUGUGCUCAGUUUUGCGUGAAUCUAAAACUGCUCUGAAAAAUUAAGUCUGUGAAAAGGAAGAAAUGAACUACCAAGUCAUGAAAAAAACACAGAAGAAUCUUCAAUGUAUAUUACUAAGUGAAAAUGCAUACUACUGCUAUGGUUUGAAUGUGUCCCCUAAAGUUCAUGUGUUAGAAACUUGAUCCCCAAUGUGGUGGUCUUGGAGAUGGGACCUAGUGGGAAGUGUUUGGGUCAUGGGGCCACUACCCUCAUAAAUGCAUUAAUGCCAUUCUCAAAGGAGUGGGUUCAUUAUAGAGCAAGUAGUUUUCUUAUAAAAGAAGUUUGCCUUCCCACCCUCUCUUUGCCCGGCCUCUGGGUUGAUGAAGCAAGAAGGUCCUCACCAAAUGCCAGCUCCUCGAUCUUGGGCUUCCCAGCCUUCA
Molecule: long non-coding RNA, 2621 nt
Filed under: Homo sapiens (human)
Lineage: Eukaryota; Metazoa; Chordata; Mammalia; Primates; Hominidae
Description: HSALNT0239352
Source: RNAcentral